RNAcentral lists this long non-coding RNA (331 nucleotides) under Androctonus crassicauda. Lineage: Eukaryota; Metazoa; Arthropoda; Arachnida; Scorpiones; Buthidae. The record is from RNAcentral.
AUACACUGGACACAGACAGAACUAGAAUCACUCCAUAGGGAAACAUGAACAUUUACAAAAUACCAGUACCAUCACCCGAAAUCUGCCAUGGAAAGAAUUACUCUCCCAUGCAAGGAAGGAGGACAUAGCUUUAUUGACAUUCCAUAUUUACACAACAAACAGAUCUAUAGUUUGAGAGAGUUCUUCCAUAAAAAACAACAUACAUCACAGCUACACAAAGGUAUAGUCUUGGCAGAUAGAAACGUCACACUAUUAAAUCUACAGAAUGACACUCCAAACCCAAUAAACAACACUGCACACAUACAAGAAAACAUCCUGGUUUAGAAAGGAA